AUGAAGGCGAGCCCUGCUCCUAGGCCAAAUGGCCCGCCGAUGGCCUUCUUUUAGAAGUUUUGGCCUCGGUUUCAGCCGGUUAUCAUGCAGAUAUUCCAUGAAUUCUACAUUGGGGAACUUGACAUGGCGGGCUUGAACUUUGGUGUCAUUACCCUUAUCCCCAAAAUAGUUGGGGCAAUGGAUAUCCAACAAUUUAGGCAUAUCACGGUGAUUAAUGUGCUUGAGCGUAAUUUUGCGAAGGUUUGUGCAACACAUCUGGCAUCUAUUGUGGAGCGUGCACACCCCUUCCAAUCUGUGUUCCUGAAGGGUCGCCGCAUCCAUGAUGGGAUCUUGGUGUUGCGGAACGCAGUAAUUUCAAAAAAAUUCCUACGAUCACGCAAGAUCUAUGUGAUGCAUAGCAACGAGCGGGAGAGUGUUGUCCACGUACCCUCGUAG
This 435-nucleotide ribosomal RNA is filed under the name Triticum aestivum (bread wheat). Its description in RNAcentral is "partial small subunit ribosomal RNA". The record is from RNAcentral. Lineage: Eukaryota; Viridiplantae; Streptophyta; Magnoliopsida; Poales; Poaceae.